RNAcentral lists this ribosomal RNA (254 nucleotides) under uncultured bacterium. Its description in RNAcentral is "partial 16S ribosomal RNA". It matches the Rfam family "Bacterial small subunit ribosomal RNA", at positions 524 to 776 of the family's 1533-position model. The record is from RNAcentral.
UACGUAGGGUGCGAGCGUUAAUCGGAAUUACUGGGCGUAAAGCGUGCGCAGGCGGUCUGUUAAGACCGAUGUGAAAUCCCCGGGCUUAACCUGGGAACUGCAUUGGUGACUGGCAGGCUUUGAGUGUGGCAGAGGGAGGUAGAAUUCCACGUGUAGCAGUGAAAUGCGUAGAGAUGUGGAGGAAUACCGAUGGCGAAGGCAGCCUCCUGGGCCAACACUGACGCUCAUGCACGAAAGUGUGGGGAGCAAACAGG